Molecule: ribosomal RNA, 503 nt
Filed under: uncultured bacterium
Lineage: Bacteria
Description: partial 16S ribosomal RNA
Rfam family: Bacterial small subunit ribosomal RNA
Source: RNAcentral
AUUGAACGCUGGCGGCAGGCUUAACACAUGCAAGUCGAGCGGGGUGAUGGUGCUUGCACUAUCACUUAGCGGCGGACGGGUGAGUAAUGCUUAGGAAUCUGCCUAUUAGUGGGGGACAACAUCUCGAAAGGGAUGCUAAUACCGCAUACGUCCUACGGGAGAAAGCAGGGGAUCACUUGUGACCUUGCGCUAAUAGAUGAGCCUAAGUCGGAUUAGCUAGUUGGUGGGGUAAAGGCCUACCAAGGCGACGAUCUGUAGCGGGUCUGAGAGGAUGAUCCGCCACACUGGGACUGAGACACGGCCCAGACUCCUACGGGAGGCAGCAGUGGGGAAUAUUGGACAAUGGGGGGAACCCUGAUCCAGCCAUGCCGCGUGUGUGAAGAAGGCCUUAUGGUUGUAAAGCACUUUAAGCGAGGAGGAGGCUCUUUUGGUUAAUACCCAGGAUGAGUGGACGUUACUCGUAGAAUAAGCACCGGCUAACUCUGUGCCAGCCGCCGCGGUAA